AAAUUUUGUCCACAUAAUCUCCCUGCAAAAUGAAACAAAAUGUAGUUUUAAAGAAUAGGGGUCCAUGCACUCGUUUUCAAAUUAAAUCAGUUUGAAUGAUAAAAAUCAGUCGAAAAAUGCAUCUUUUCCCGAUAUGUCAUAGUUUGACGUCGCGAAAAUAACAUUUUACGUUAGCAACGUCAUUACCUCCCCUGUAACUGUAUCGUAUGCCCUUAAGCAAUAUUA
RNAcentral lists this long non-coding RNA (225 nucleotides) under Mytilus galloprovincialis (Mediterranean mussel). Lineage: Eukaryota; Metazoa; Mollusca; Bivalvia; Mytilida; Mytilidae. The record is from RNAcentral.